This 578-nucleotide ribosomal RNA is filed under the name uncultured archaeon. RNAcentral's name for it is "bacterial SSU rRNA". It matches the Rfam family "Archaeal small subunit ribosomal RNA", at positions 53 to 610 of the family's 1478-position model. The record is from RNAcentral.
GCUAGUCGACGACCAGAACUAUGUCUGGAAGUGGCACACUGCUCAGUAACACGUAGCUAACCUACCCUUAGAACGGAGACAACCCCGAGAAAUUGGGGCUAAUCUCCGAUAGGUAUGAUGUCCUGGAAUGGUAUUAUGCUGAAAGGGGUCCCAAACAUGUUUUGUGACCUGUCUAGGGAUGGGGCUGCGGCCGAUCAGGCAGUUGGUGGGGUAAAGGCCCACCAAACCUUUGACCGGUACGGGCCAUGAGAGUGGUAGCCCGGAGAUGGGCACUGAGACAAGGGCCCAGGCCCUACGGGGCGCAGCAGGCGCGAAACCUCCUCAAUGCACACACGUGUGAAGGGGUUACCUCGAGUGCUACCUGAAGAAGGUGGCUUUUCUUGGGUCUAAAACGCCCGAGGAAUAAGAGGGGGGCAAGACUGGUGUCAGCCGCCGCGGUAACACCAGCCCCUCGAGUGGUGGGGAUGAUUAUUUGGUCUAAAGCGUCCGUAGCCGGCUGAGUAAGUUUCCCGUUAAAUCCAGCGUCUCAUGCGUUGGACUGCGAGGAAAUACUGCUCGGCUAGAGAGUGAGAGAGGUC